GUCCUACGGGGCGCAGCAGUGGGGAAUAUUGGGCAAUGGGCGCAAGCCUGACCCAGCAACGCCGCGUGAAGGAAGAAGGCUUUCGGGUUGUAAACUUCUUUUCUCAGGGACGAAGAAAGUGACGGUACCUGAGGAAUAAGCCACGGCUAACUACGUGCCAGCAGCCGCGGUAAUACGUAGGUGGAAAGCGUUAUCCGGAUUUAUUGGGGGUAAAGGGCGUGUAGGCGGGGGCGCAGUUCAGAUGUGAAAACUCAGGGCUAAACCC
RNAcentral lists this ribosomal RNA (265 nucleotides) under uncultured bacterium. RNAcentral describes it as "partial 16S ribosomal RNA". It matches the Rfam family "Bacterial small subunit ribosomal RNA", at positions 335 to 615 of the family's 1533-position model. The record is from RNAcentral.